RNAcentral lists this ribosomal RNA (583 nucleotides) under uncultured Variovorax sp. RNAcentral describes it as "bacterial SSU rRNA". It matches the Rfam family "Bacterial small subunit ribosomal RNA", at positions 102 to 681 of the family's 1533-position model. The record is from RNAcentral. Lineage: Bacteria; Pseudomonadati; Pseudomonadota; Betaproteobacteria; Burkholderiales; Comamonadaceae.
ACGGGUGAGUAAUACAUCGGAACGUGCCCAAUCGUGGGGGAUAACGCAGCGAAAGCUGUGCUAAUACCGCAUACGAUCUACGGAUGAAAGCAGGGGAUCGCAAGACCUUGCGCGAAUGGAGCGGCCGAUGGCAGAUUAGGUAGUUGGUGAGGUAAAGGCUCACCAAGCCUUCGAUCUGUAGCUGGUCUGAGAGGACGACCAGCCACACUGGGACUGAGACACGGCCCAGACUCCUACGGGAGGCAGCAGUGGGGAAUUUUGGACAAUGGGCGCAAGCCUGAUCCAGCCAUGCCGCGUGCAGGAUGAAGGCCUUCGGGUUGUAAACUGCUUUUGUACGGAACGAAACGGCUCUUUCUAAUAAAGAGGGCUAAUGACGGUACCGUAAGAAUAAGCACCGGCUAACUACGUGCCAGCAGCCGCGGUAAUACGUAGGGUGCAAGCGUUAAUCGGAAUUACUGGGCGUAAAGCGUGCGCAGGCGGUGAUGUAAGACAGUUGUGAAAUCCCCGGGCUCAACCUGGGAACUGCAUCUGUGACUGCAUCGCUGGAGUACGGCAGAGGGGGAUGGAAUUCCGCGUGUAGCAG